GCGGCCGCGGCUGUGCCAGCUGUGCUGCUGGUGCUACUGCGCGACGACGCGAGUCCCGCAACCAUAGCAAACGCCUUACGAUGAAUCGGAUACUCGUGAAGACACAGCAAGGGCUUCACGAGACGCUGUGCGCACACUUCUCGCUGCCGAAAGCCGUCUCGUUCAGGACGCAUUGAAGCGGACACAGCCUGCAGCGAAGAACAACGUGACGGACAUUGCUCUACUCCACUUGGGGCGCCUGCGCAAGCAGGCGUUUGGUGAAUGGCGUCACUACGGACCCGAGCCAACAGGGGGGUUUCGACUCCUCCCCCCCCCCACGCCUCGCCAUGCUUGGCUUUGCUGUGUCCGAGGAAAAGGGGAUCCUGGGGGUUGAGCCGACGCCGGGUGAUUGGACCUGUAAGGCCCCCCGGCAGAGGCAACACACCCCUUUGGCCCCAGCUUCACGUAGACGGCACCCCUGGGCUGACCCACCCAGAGGAAAUCGGCAGUAGUCUUUUGCUAUCUCUCUCUCUCUCCACAUUUUCGUCUUUCUCUCUCACUUUUCAUCUUUCCUGUCCUCUUCUCUCUUCAAUUUACUUCCGUGUUUCACGGCGGCAAGGGUUAACCUGGUGUGAAUAUCCAACCAUGAGUAGUUAGAUGAGGUUAUAGUAACAGCGUACGGCUGGCAUCAUGCAGGCUUGAUGACAAGUCCAGCCGUGUCCCCUUGUUGGGCUCCAUGGUGGGCGGUUGGCGCUGUUGCCGAACAGUUUCAUCUUUUUAUGGCUUCUCAAGCAUCCACUAUUUUUGAUCAGUCUCUGAAAAGAGGCCACACCGAGGCAACUGUUCAUUUCAACACACAAUCCAAAGUAUCCUUCCAAAAGUACCAUGUCAUCCACAGUGAAGGCACACCAGUACGAAAGCUAUCUCCAUUUUUGGUGGCCAAGUGCCUGAAAGAAAGAAAUUGGACCCAAGUACAAAAUUUCGAAAAUGUCAAGCGGUCACCUGCUCCUAGAGCUAGCCGAAAAAGAACAAGUAUCAAAGCUCUCCGAACUCGCCUGCAUUGGUGACACUACCGUAACAAUUUCUGUCCACAGAUCCCUUAACACCAGCAGGGGAGGAAUAUCUGAAGAAGAUUUCUUAGGCCUAAGUGACAAGGAGCUCCUCGAGGGGUUUCAGGAUCAAGACGUCAUAAAGGUACUACUCCGAUCAACCACAAGCAAACCAGUUUUCGAACUACAGCCUGAUGACUUAUCAGCUCAGUUUUUGCCGGAUGGUGAACCUUUGUUCAACUGCUCGACAUGGGAAUCAAGCGACAUUGACCAAAACGAUGGAAAUCAACGAGUGUGCCUCGCAGCUGAAAUUGGCCGCUGCCGGUCAACCAACCGUGGACUGAUCGCACAGACGACUGCAGCCUACAAAUAGCACGGAUCUUCACUCGGAGCUUGGGGCAUGGAACCGGUGCAGAUAUGACUGCACCGCUUACGCUUACGCUGUUCUUUCUGCAGCAGAAUUAUCCUGGCGUCGCCAUAUCGAGUAUGUCACGUGCAAGGCUUCAAGUGUUCUAGGUUUUCUUAGAAGAAAUGCAAGAAAUUUACCUAUUGCCGCAAAAGAGCUCUUGUAUAAAGCCAAUGUUAGACCAAUACAUGAAUACGCUUGUUGCGUUUGGGACCCUUGGCAGCAAGUAGACAUUCAAAGGAUUGAAAGAAUUCAAAAUUUAGCUGUGAGAUUUGUUCAUGCCGAUUAUACCCGCCACUUUAGCGUGACCAGUGCAAAGGAAAGCCUUGGAUGGGAGUCACUGCAGCAGCGUAGGCAAUACGUAAGGUUAAAAUUUUUUCACAGUAUAUUCCAUAACAACACUGGUAUUAACCGGAAUUUUUACAUGCACAAUCCUGAUUACGUCCAACCCCGUCUUGAUCAUGCCUACAAGAUAAAGGAGAUAAGAUGUAGGAUGAACUAUUUCCGGAUGGCGUUUUUUCCCCAGAAUAAUUCACGAGUGGAACAAACUGCCUCAUGACAUUGCCACUGUUAUAUCCCCUGAAGUAUUUGCUUCCUCUUUACAGAACUCGUAUCGUAAAUAGUCCUCGUGAUCCCCUGCGGGGUAUUUGCUUGUGUAUUUUUAGUACUAAAAAUGUUUUGCUUUUCUUUUGUCCAUUUGGCUAUUGCUGCAGUACAUUUAUUCAAUUACCUGCUUUUGGUUGGCUAUGUUUUUAUUGUACUCCCCCCCCCCCCCCACUGUAAUGCCGAAAGGCGCUGUGGGUAUUGUAAUAAAUAAAUAAAUAAAUAAAUAUAAGUGCCUCAAAGGAAUUCUAUAACCAUGAUCUCAUAUUAGAAGAAUUAAACAGGGUACUUUCCGCUGGUAAAAAAGCAGCAACAGGCCCUGACCAUGUGCACUACACAAUGCUGGCGCACCUAUCCCAGGCAUCGGCGGAGGCACUUCUCCAAUUUUUCAAUAAAAUAUGGGAAUCUGGUUAAUGCCUGAAGAUUGGAAAAAUGCAAUAGUUAUACCUUUCCUCAAAUCUGGUAAACCCCCAACAUCCCCGAGUAGCUACAGGCCCAUUGCAUUAACAAGUCUCGCAAAAACAUACAAAAGCAUUAUAUACAUAACUUACCUUCAUUCUUGAAAGAAGACACCUUAUAGACUCACACCAGCGCGGAUACAAAAAGGGCUGUUCAACGACUGACCAUUUCGUGAGACUAGAACACGAAAUACGAGAUGCAUUUCUACACAAACAGCACUGUCUCGCGG
Molecule: long non-coding RNA, 2725 nt
Organism: Rhipicephalus sanguineus (brown dog tick)
Lineage: Eukaryota; Metazoa; Arthropoda; Arachnida; Ixodida; Ixodidae
Exons: 4
Source: RefSeq, a predicted model, not a curated record